RNAcentral lists this ribosomal RNA (433 nucleotides) under uncultured bacterium. RNAcentral describes it as "partial 16S ribosomal RNA". It matches the Rfam family "Bacterial small subunit ribosomal RNA", at positions 29 to 507 of the family's 1533-position model. The record is from RNAcentral.
AGCGAACGCUGGCGGCAGGCCUAACACAUGCAAGUCGAACGAACUCUUCGGAGUUAGUGGCGGACGGGUGAGUAACACGUGGGAACGUGCCUUUAUGUUCGGCAUAACUCAGGGAAACUUGUGCUAAUACCGAAUGUGCCCUUCGGGGGAAAGAUUUAUCGCCUUUAGAGCGGCCCGCGUCUGAUUAGCUAGUUGGUGAGGUAAAGGCUCACCAAGGCGACGAUCAGUAGCUGGUCUGAGAGGAUGAUCAGCCACAUUGGGACUGAGACACGGCCCAAACUCCUACGGGAGGCAGCAGUGGGGAAUCUUGCGCAAUGGGCGAAAGCCUGACGCAGCCAUGCCGCGUGAAUGAUGAAGGUCUUAGGAUUGUAAAAUUCUUUCACCGGGGACGAUAAUGACGGUACCCGGAGAAGAAGCCCCGGCUAACUUCGUG